UGUAGCUCAGGGGUAGAGCGCAACCUUGCCAAGGUUGAAGUCGUGAGUUCGAAUCUCAUCGCCCGCUCCA
Molecule: transfer RNA, 70 nt
Filed under: Rhodospirillaceae bacterium
Lineage: Bacteria; Pseudomonadati; Pseudomonadota; Alphaproteobacteria; Rhodospirillales; Rhodospirillaceae
Description: tRNA-Gly
Rfam family: tRNA
About the family: Transfer RNA (tRNA) molecules are approximately 80 nucleotides in length. Their secondary structure includes four short double-helical elements and three loops (D, anti-codon, and T loops).
Source: RNAcentral